RNAcentral lists this ribosomal RNA (466 nucleotides) under uncultured bacterium. Its description in RNAcentral is "partial 16S ribosomal RNA". It matches the Rfam family "Bacterial small subunit ribosomal RNA", at positions 28 to 507 of the family's 1533-position model. The record is from RNAcentral.
GACGAACGCUGGCGGCGUGCUUAACACAUGCAAGUCGAACGGUAAGGCUCCAGCUUGCUGGGGUACACGAGUGGCGAACGGGUGAGUAACACGUGGGUGACCUGCCCUGCACUUCGGGAUAAGCCUGGGAAACUGGGUCUAAUACCGGAUAGGACCAUGGUGUGGAUACUGUGGUGGAAAGUUUUUUCGGUGUGGGAUGGGCCCGCGGCCUAUCAGCUUGUUGGUGGGGUAAUGGCCUACCAAGGCGGCGACGGGUAGCCGGCCUGAGAGGGUGGACGGCCACAUUGGGACUGAGACACGGCCCAGACUCCUACGGGAGGCAGCAGUGGGGAAUAUUGCACGAUGGGCGGAAGCCUGAUGCAGCGACGCCGCGUGGGGGAUGACGGCCUUCGGGUUGUAAACUCCUUUCACCAUCGACGAAGGGUUUCUGACGGUAGAUGGAGAAGAAGCACCGGCUAACUACGUG